Molecule: transfer RNA, 73 nt
Filed under: Craugastor rhodopis (polymorphic robber frog)
Lineage: Eukaryota; Metazoa; Chordata; Amphibia; Anura; Craugastoridae
Description: tRNA-Asx
Source: RNAcentral
CUAGAACGGCAGGCCUUGAUCCCGCAAUAAUUUAGUUAACAGCUAAAAACUCCAUCCAGCGAGCCUCAUUCUA